RNAcentral lists this ribosomal RNA (253 nucleotides) under uncultured bacterium. RNAcentral describes it as "partial 16S ribosomal RNA". It matches the Rfam family "Bacterial small subunit ribosomal RNA", at positions 524 to 776 of the family's 1533-position model. The record is from RNAcentral.
UACGGAGGGUGCAAGUGUUAUCCGGAUUCACUGGGUUUAAAGGGUGCGUAGGCGGAUUUGUAAGUCCGUGGUGAAAUCUCCAGGCUUAACCUGGAAACUGCCAUGGAUACUAUAAAUCUUGAAUGUUGUGGAGGUUAGCGGAAUAUGUCAUGUAGCGGUGAAAUGCAUAGAUAUGACAUAGAACACCAAUUGCGAAGGCAGCUGGCUACACAAAUAUUGACGCUGAGGCACGAAAGCUAGGGGAGCAAACGGG